AUAGAAUAGGUUAGUGAG
RNAcentral lists this microRNA (18 nucleotides) under Corchorus olitorius. RNAcentral describes it as "cin-miR-4206-". The record is from RNAcentral. Lineage: Eukaryota; Viridiplantae; Streptophyta; Magnoliopsida; Malvales; Malvaceae.